RNAcentral lists this ribosomal RNA (423 nucleotides) under uncultured bacterium. RNAcentral describes it as "bacterial SSU rRNA". It matches the Rfam family "Bacterial small subunit ribosomal RNA", at positions 358 to 773 of the family's 1533-position model. The record is from RNAcentral.
GGAAUAUUGGACAAUGGGCGAAAGCCUGAUCCAGCGACGCCGCGUGUGUGAAGAAGGCCUGCGGGUUGUAAAGCACUUUCGAUGGGAACGAAAUGUGCCGGGCUAAUAUCCCGGCAAGCUGACGUUACCCAAUGAAGAAGCCCCGGCUAACGCUGUGCCACCAGCCGCGGUAAUACAGAGGGUGCGAGCGUUACUCGGAAUUACUGGGCGUAAAGCGCACGUAGGUGGCGACGUAAGUCGGGUGUGAAAGCCCCGGGCUCAACCUGGGAAUUGCAUUCGAGACUGCAUUGCUGGAGUACGGAAGAGGAGGGCGGAAUUCCCGGUGUAGCGGUGAAAUGCGUAGAUAUCGGGAGGAACAUCAGUGGCGAAGGCGGCCCUCUGGUCCAGUACUGACGCUGAGGUGCGAAAGCGUGGGGAGCAAAC